Molecule: long non-coding RNA, 1567 nt
Organism: Drosophila pseudoobscura
Lineage: Eukaryota; Metazoa; Arthropoda; Insecta; Diptera; Drosophilidae
Exons: 3
Source: RefSeq, a predicted model, not a curated record
UAAAAUUGAUAUUCUUUAGACAUAUUCAAGUACAUUAGUAUCUUGUGUAUAUUUAUUUCGAUCCUGAUACCUACGGAGCCUUGGAUGACAAAUUUGAAUUGUUUUAAUAAUUCAAAUAUAUAUCGGUAUUUAUUUGAAUAGGGUAUGAAUCGGUAAUAACCGGUUGACAACAAUGAAUACCGGCAACAUUAAUUGUCAUACCCUAAGGAAAAGGAUGUUAUAGAAUUGAGAAAAUGUUUUUCAUCCAAGGCUCCAAAAUCGUUAUUCAAUCAAAAUCAAAAAUAAUUUUGUAGUUUUUUUAGUUUUAUUAAGUGGUCCCGGGAACGGUAGCUUUCGAUUCUAUUGAUUCUAAUAAGUGUUAGAACAUUUACAUAUGUAUAAGUGCAAUACAACCUGACUAUUCGAUUGACCGAGUCCUGGGAACCUUAGAAAUAUUUUUCCACCGAACAUCGCUGCUAGUCCAGAUAGAAAAUAAAAUACCGUCACACUCAAAAGGUAGGUUGCCAAAGGUAAGUGCCUGGCAGCGUAGCAAAUUCAAUGUUGGGCCCAUCACUGGAGUGCCGAGUCCCGUGGAGGAGAAGGAACAGUCGCAAUCGAAGGACCUAGACUGCAUAGCCUAUGCAGAACCACGUCACCAGUCUGAAAAAUAUUUACUCACAAGUGUAAACGGCAAAAGAGGUUGCCGAUUACAUUUUCAAGUCACCCGUAUAAAAGGCGAAAGGUUGUUGUUUUUCAGUGCAGUCAUAAUGUUCAUAGCUAUGGAGCUGCUUCUAUGGCGCGAUCUUCUAAAGCCCCAUCCUUCGUCUUCAUCCGCGGAGCUUUCGCUUGUACGGAUAAGUGGGUUCGAAAUACCAUUGCAGGCCCUUGCUACUGCUGGUUCAUAUUGUCCUUCAGUAUAUAAAUAUUUAUCUAUUGAGAUAUUGAGUGUCUGUCACAGCCCUACUCAGAAUGUUCUCCAUUCUUAUAUGCUUUCUCUUUUUCGAAGUAAGUAUGGAAGAGUUUUCAGCUUAUUCAGACCAAUACUUUUUGUGUUCUUGCAGUUCCCCACCCAAAUGGAUUGCAUUUAAAUGUGCAUCUACAUAUGUAUGUCUGUGCAUAUUUAUCAUGACUUCGAUUAUGUGGAUCACUGUCAUGCUAUUUAAUUCAUCUAAGAAAUCACUGAAUCGGAAACACAUGUAUCAUAAUUUUCUGAUUUUUUAGACCAGCACUACGAAUAGUUCUUUGCCUAUUACUCAACCCGCCUGGUACUUCUGCAAGCGUCCUGUGAAAGGAACUGACUAGAGGCCGUUGGGAUAGCGUGCCCUGAGGGCCUUCAUAGACGUCAGGACCCGUAGUGGCCUUCAGUAUGUAGAUUGUUCGAACGGCCAACAGCUACUUAAACAACUUGAGAGCUGACUGAAUAUCUCAAUAUAUAAAUAAUACAUACUGAAGGCCAAUAUGCACCAGCGAUAGCCAGGGCCAGCGAUGGUAUUUAGACGCUACAUAUCCGUGCAAGCGAAAGAAUCGCAGAUGGAGACAAAGUAUGGGGCUUUCCAAGAAUCAAUAAAGAAGCUCCUUAACUGUGAAC